AUUGAACGCUGGCGGCAGGCUUAACACAUGCAAGUCGAGCGGGGGAAGGUAGCUUGCUACUGGACCUAGCGGCGGACGGGUGAGUAAUGCUUAGGAAUCUGCCUAUUAGUGGGGGACAGCAUCUCGAAAGGGAUGCUAAUACCGCAUACGUCCUACGGGAGAAAGCAGGGGAUCUUCGGACCUUGCGCUAAUAGAUGAGCCUAAGUCGGAGUAGCUAGUUGGUGGGAUAAAGGCCUACCAAGGCGACGAUCUGUAACGGGUCUGAGAGGAUGAUCCGCCACACUGGGACUGAGACACGGCCCAGACUCCUACGGGAGGCAGCAGUGGGGAAUAUUGGACAAUGGGGGGAACCCUGAUCCAGCCAUGCCGCGUGUGUGAAGAAGGCCUUAUGGUUGUAAAGCACUUUAAGCGAGGAGGAGGCUACUCUAGUUAAUACCUAGGGAUAGUGGACGUUACUCGCAGAAUAAGCACCGGCUAACUCUGUGCCAGCAGCCGCAGUAA
This 501-nucleotide ribosomal RNA is filed under the name uncultured bacterium. Its description in RNAcentral is "partial 16S ribosomal RNA". It matches the Rfam family "Bacterial small subunit ribosomal RNA", at positions 30 to 523 of the family's 1533-position model. The record is from RNAcentral.